AGAGUUUGAUCCUGGCUCAGAUUGAACGCUGGCGGCAUGCCUUACACAUGCAAGUCGAACGGGCUUUGGGGCUUGCUCCAAAGUUAGUGGCGAACGGGUGAGUAAUAUAUCGGAACGUACCCUUGAGUGGGGGAUAACAUAGCGAAAGUUAUGCUAAUACCGCAUACGAUCUAAGGAUGAAAGUGAGGGACCGCAAGGCCCCACGCUCCUGGAGCGGCCGAUAUCUGAUUAGCUAGUUGGUGAGGUAAAGGCUCACCAAGGCUUCGAUCAGUAGCUGGUCUGAGAGGACGAUCAGCCACACUGGGACUGAGACACGGCCCAGACUCCUACGGGAG
RNAcentral lists this ribosomal RNA (335 nucleotides) under uncultured bacterium. Its description in RNAcentral is "bacterial SSU rRNA". It matches the Rfam family "Bacterial small subunit ribosomal RNA", at positions 8 to 347 of the family's 1533-position model. The record is from RNAcentral.